UUGAAUGGAUGUGGUGUUUCUAGCCUGGUGCAGCGCUGCACUUUUAUCCUAAAUCAGGCCCUUGAGGGCGGAAUACAGGAUUUAGUGAAUUGUCCAAGAUGAGGUGACUCCCUCAGAAUUGAAUAAGGAACCUGUUUUCAAGCACCAGACAUGUGCAGUGACUGAUGGAAAAGCUGGGAAGACCUCUGUUCGCUCCUAAGAGAGGUACUGCUGGGUCAGCAUGGCUGGCCGGGGUCUGUGCUGCCUGCCUGUCCACAGCCACACAAGGGAGAGCACUGGGGUUUGAGUAGUAGAACCUUGAUUUUC
RNAcentral lists this long non-coding RNA (306 nucleotides) under Bos taurus (domestic cattle). Its description in RNAcentral is "long non-coding RNA NONBTAT016884". The record is from RNAcentral. Lineage: Eukaryota; Metazoa; Chordata; Mammalia; Artiodactyla; Bovidae.